This 207-nucleotide long non-coding RNA is filed under the name Phoenix dactylifera (date palm). RNAcentral describes it as "long non-coding RNA (PDAC_LNC008592)". The record is from RNAcentral. Lineage: Eukaryota; Viridiplantae; Streptophyta; Magnoliopsida; Arecales; Arecaceae.
UGGGAGUAGGGUUGGGCAGUAUUCGAAGCUUGCUGCUUCCAAGAAAAGUUUGGAUGAUUCCGCCAUCCCGGGUUGUAAGUGGUAGAAUAUGGAUCAUUACCCGGUCGGGAUUGUGUUUGGGCAGCAUUUACUUGUUCUUGCACAAAUUCAGGGAAUUGAGCUGCCGAAGGGCAUUCAUGAAUAGGGUGAGACGGGCUAGAACAAAGA